This 399-nucleotide long non-coding RNA is filed under the name Homo sapiens (human). RNAcentral's name for it is "HSALNT0063523". Lineage: Eukaryota; Metazoa; Chordata; Mammalia; Primates; Hominidae. The record is from RNAcentral.
UGCCAAAGGAGAUUAACAUUUCAGUCAGUGGAUUUGGAAAGGCAGACGCACUCUCAAUCUGGGUAGGCACAACAUAAUCAGCUGCCAGUGCGGUCAGAAUAAAAGCAGGCAGAAGAACGUGGAAAGAUCAGACUAGUUUAUUCUUCCGGCCUACACCUUUCUCCUGUGCUGGAAGCUUCCUGCCCUUCAACAUUGGACUUCAACUUCCUCAGCUUUGGGACUCGAACUGGCUUCCUUGCUCCUCAGCUUGCGACCUAUUGUAGGACCUCACCUUGUGAUUGUGCAUCUGUCUCAUUCACAAGUAUUAUCUCAACAUGUAACGCAGCGACCAAGAGACAUUUCACUUUUCUAACCGUAGUGAGACAAUUUGAUGUAUAAGGGAUGGCUGCAUAUGAACUU